CACAGUCCUGUCCUAUGUCAGCCUCCUGCUGAGAAAAUGCCUGCCUUAAUUUGCUCAGCUAAUCACAGUCCUGAUCUGACUGGCAUGUCCUUCACCCUGGAAAUGUUCUCUUGGUCUCUCCAUUUCUGGAUAUUGCCUUUGUAGAGCUGUGUUGCCAGUUGGAGACCACUGCAGCUGCUCAGAGGAUUGGAAAAUGGUUCAUAAGCUGGAGAUUAUUGCUAUGCCAUGAGGGGCUGCAGAAGGGAGCCUAACAUGGAGGCUCUGCAUCUCAGCUUGAUGGUCCAGCUCUGGCAAGGCAGUGGAGUGGGCUGAUGAUCAUCUGUUUGCCUUGUCCUCUAUUCUAUAGGCAACAAGAGCCUGAAGUAGAAGUGUUAAAAGCUGCUGCAGAUGAGUGAAGGAUUACUGAAUCCAGGUGCCAGAAUGAUAGAGCAACCCUCCAGUGCAGAGAGGCAGAGUUCAGGGAAUUGCUGAAGGAAAAAAAAAAAACAAACAGGAAGGACAGUGGAAACUGUCAUCUGCAAAAUGCCAGAGUAUCUAGUGGCUGCCCUGCAGGGUUGGACCUAUUUUCUUUGAAAUUCUACCUCCUGCCCACCUGCUCUCUUCACAUUCCCUGGGCCUGUGCAGGGAGUGCUGCUGGAUGCUGUUUUAUGGAAGAGCCUGACUGGUCCUGACAACUAUUGCUGCUGCUGAUGGGCAGCUGUUUGAGCUCUGAUUUAAUCUAGUCUUAACACUCUUAUUGGAAUGUUUCAUUUCUCUGUGUCUGUUUUUUGUUGGAAGUAACUACUUUGUUAAAUUGAAUGUCUGCGAUUAGGAAGUUGAAUAAUUAAUUUUUUUCCCAGUCCCUGUUUUGCUGUAGCAGACAUUUUCUAGUGAAAGUUAGGUCAAAUAUUCAGUAUGUAAAUAUACAUAAAGAUUAGAGACAUUAGAAAGGGACUGUAUUAAAUCUGUGUGUUUUAAAACAAAAUUUAUUUGAACAAAAGCAAUAGUAA
Zonotrichia leucophrys gambelii is the source of this 989-nucleotide long non-coding RNA. RefSeq lists it as uncharacterized. Lineage: Eukaryota; Metazoa; Chordata; Aves; Passeriformes; Passerellidae. The transcript is spliced from 3 exons. The record is from RefSeq and is a predicted model, not a curated record.